This 331-nucleotide ribosomal RNA is filed under the name uncultured bacterium. RNAcentral describes it as "bacterial SSU rRNA". It matches the Rfam family "Bacterial small subunit ribosomal RNA", at positions 28 to 334 of the family's 1533-position model. The record is from RNAcentral.
GAUGAACGCUGGCGGCGUGCCUAACACAUGCAAGUCGAGCGAAGCACUUUGCUUGGAUUCUUCGGAUGAAGAGGAUUGUGACUGAGCGGGCGUAGGGUGAAGGUACGCGUAGGUAACCGUGCCUCAUACAGGGGGAUAACAGUUGGAAACGGCUGCUAAUACCGCAUAAGCGCACAGUACCGCAUGGUACGGUGUAGAAAAACUCCGGUGGUAUGAGAUCGGACCCGCGUCUGAUUAGGUAGUUGGUGGGUAACGGCCUACCAAGCCCGACGAUCAGUAGCCGACCUGAGAGGGUGACCGGCCACUAGUUGGGACUGAGACACCGGCCCAA